This 613-nucleotide unclassified non-coding RNA is filed under the name Hevea brasiliensis (rubber tree). Lineage: Eukaryota; Viridiplantae; Streptophyta; Magnoliopsida; Malpighiales; Euphorbiaceae. The record is from RNAcentral.
CGAAUUCUUUGGAGUUAACAGCUCUUUUUUUAACCCUAAAAGGUAUCUAUCUGUCUUAGAUUAAUAGUACAGUAACUAGAUUACAAAAAGAGCUGUUAACUCCAAAGAAUUCGUAACCCAAAUGGAACAUUACUACAUUUCUAUCUAGAGAUAAUUACAGCCACAGGAUAAAAUCAGAUUUGCUAAGACCAAAAAUUCUAUAGGAAGCCAAUAAUGCUUCCCAUUUUCUGUUUAACUAUAGCUGGAAGAAAUGCCUGUGUGAAUUGGGUACGUGAUACAGGGAUAUAGAAAUGCAUCAGGAACCAAAAAUAACUAAGAAUCAAACAGCGGUAAAGAAUGAGAUGAGAACCGUUAUAAAUGCAAAAAUGAAAGGGUUCAAUUGAGGUGAUUGAUUCGCUGACGGUAGCGGCUCCCUAAAGACAUUAGAAUUGCUGCCAUUCCCUGUGGUGGCUUCUUGAUUAACAGAUGCAGCUGGUGACACUCCAGGACUUGUCGGGUUGACACGUAGAGUGUUGCUGUCUGAAAGAUCAUAACAGUUUGAUGGUUUCCAACCCAACACAUUCUUUUCACGAUCAAAAACUAUACGAUAACCCGUCAUGAAAUUUUGUCCAAU